Molecule: ribosomal RNA, 253 nt
Filed under: uncultured bacterium
Lineage: Bacteria
Description: partial 16S ribosomal RNA
Rfam family: Bacterial small subunit ribosomal RNA
Source: RNAcentral
UACGAAGGGUGCAAGCGUUACUCGGAAUUACUGGGCGUAAAGCGUGCGUAGGUGGUUCGUUAAGUCUGAUGUGAAAGCCCUGGGCUCAACCUGGGAAUGGCAUUGGAUACUGGCGGACUGGAGUGCGGUAGAGGAUGGCGGAAUUCCCGGUGUAGCAGUGAAAUGCGUAGAGAUCGGGAGGAACACCGGUGGCGAAGGCGACAUCCUGGACCGGUAUUGACGCUGAUGCGCGAAAGCCAGGGGAGCAAACGGG